This 497-nucleotide ribosomal RNA is filed under the name uncultured bacterium. RNAcentral's name for it is "partial 16S ribosomal RNA". It matches the Rfam family "Bacterial small subunit ribosomal RNA", at positions 28 to 507 of the family's 1533-position model. The record is from RNAcentral.
GAUGAACGCUGGCGGCGUGCCUAAUACAUGCAAGUCGAGCGAACGGACGAGAAGCUUGCUUCUCUGAUGUUAUCGGCGGACGGGUGAGUAACACGUGGAUAACCUACCUAUAAGACUGGGAUAACUUCGGGAAACCGGAGCUAAUACCGGAUGAUAUUUUGAACCGCAUGGUUCAAAAGUGAAAGACGGUCUUGCUGUCACUUAUAGAUGGAUCCGCGCUGCAUUAGCUAGUUGGUAAGGUAACGGCUUACCAAGGCAACGAUGCAUAGCCGACCUGAGAGGGUGAUCGGCCACACUGGAACUGAGACACGGUCCAGACUCCUACGGGAGGCAGCAGUAGGGAAUCUUCCGCAAUGGGCGAAAGCCUGACGGAGCAACGCCGCGUGAGUGAUGAAGGUCUUCGGAUCGUAAAACUCUGUUAUUAGGGAAGAACAUAUGUGUAAGUAACUGUGCACAUCUUGACGGUACCUAAUCAGAAAGCCACGGCUAACUACGUG